RNAcentral lists this ribosomal RNA (388 nucleotides) under uncultured bacterium. RNAcentral's name for it is "bacterial SSU rRNA". It matches the Rfam family "Bacterial small subunit ribosomal RNA", at positions 28 to 417 of the family's 1533-position model. The record is from RNAcentral.
GACGAACGCUGGCGGCGUGCUUAACACAUGCAAGUCGAGCGGUAAGGCCCUUUCGGGGGUACACGAGCGGCGAACGGGUGAGUAACACGUGGGUGACCUGCCCUUAGCUCUGGGAUAAGCCUGGGAAACUGGGUCUAAUACCGGAUAUGACUCCAUGACGCAUGUUGUGGGGUGGAAAGCCUUGUGCGGCUAGGGAUGGGCCCGCGGCCUAUCAGCUUGUUGGUGGGGUGANGGCCUACCAAGGCGACGACGGGUAGCCGGCCUGAGAGGGCGACCGGCCACACUGGGACUGAGACACGGCCCAGACUCCUACGGGAGGCAGCAGUGGGGAAUCUUGCGCAAGUGGGCGAAAGCCUGACGCAGCGACGCCGCGUGGGGAUGACGGCCU